CUCCAUCAGCUCUCCACAAUAUCAGCCCUUCCAAAAGCUUCCACAUCUCUCUCAUGUAGCACAUCUGCUCUCAGUCCUUUACUGCCAACUUCCAGUCUUAACAGGUCUACUUGUAUUAAUUUCUCCUCUACAGUCAACUACUUCACAAUAGAAGCAAACAAUGAUUACUGGAGACAGGAGAUAUAUUUUUAAAGUGCCACAAACUGGAGAGAGAAUGCUGUUCUGAGCACUAUGUUUAUCUUGGAAAAGUUUGACACAUCAAUAAACAUUGGAA
This is a long non-coding RNA of Onychostoma macrolepis, 274 nucleotides long. RefSeq lists it as uncharacterized. The record is from RefSeq and is a predicted model, not a curated record. NCBI's taxonomy places the organism in Eukaryota, Metazoa, Chordata, Actinopteri, Cypriniformes, Cyprinidae. The transcript is spliced from 3 exons.